GCCCAGGAUGGACGGGCCGGUGUUCGCGCUGGCUUCCGGCGCCGGUGGAACGGUCUACGCCGGCGGCGCGUUCACCCGCGGCCUGGUCC
Molecule: transfer RNA, 89 nt
Filed under: Acrocarpospora corrugata
Lineage: Bacteria; Bacillati; Actinomycetota; Actinomycetes; Streptosporangiales; Streptosporangiaceae
Description: tRNA-Arg
Source: RNAcentral